AUCCUUUUGUAGUUGAUAAGUGUAAUGCUUGGGUGUUCACUCUCUUGUGUGAGAUGUGCCUCCCUCAAACCUUGUUAUGACAUCGGCACAUUACCUGUCUGACA
Molecule: small nucleolar RNA, 104 nt
Filed under: Rhinolophus ferrumequinum (greater horseshoe bat)
Lineage: Eukaryota; Metazoa; Chordata; Mammalia; Chiroptera; Rhinolophidae
Description: Small nucleolar RNA U13 (ENSRFEG00010009381.1)
Rfam family: Small nucleolar RNA U13
Source: Rfam by way of RNAcentral